CUUUCUUACUUUUUUUUUUCUUCCGUCUUCUUCUUCUUCUUCUUGUUUCAUGGCGGUUUGGUGCACUUCCGCCACCUACUGGGUUGGAGUGUAGAGCAUCAACGCGAAGGCAAAAAAAACCCCCUAAAAACAAAGAAAAACUAUCGACUAUAUCCUUCUAUACAACUUUGUUCCCUUAAGGUGGCGAAAACUCUGAGAUCUGAAGGGAUUGAAGACUAAUGCAGGGAUGGCUUUUUUCUGCUGAACAGCUAUGAGAGAGAGAAACUCACCUCUACUCCAAGAAAACCGUGUCCACCACCACCUCCACUGACAAGUAUUGGAGCUUGUCACGUCACGGCGAGUUCGCAACUACGGUCCCCAGAAUGCAGUGCCAACUACAAACAUGGCCGACGAGAACUACACUUCCCGACCAUGCAUGCGCUCACGUUCACCGGAAUACUGAGUGAGAACACCUGUGUCGCACCAUAGGUUAUAAAAGGCCUCGUUAACUUCAGCGCCUCGCGAAGUAAACGCUCAGCAACCUUUCACCUGACGUUCACCAAGCCUUGUUCACGUUUUGGAUUUCUACGGUUUUUGGAGUUUUUGGAUUGCGUUUCCCUGCAUAGCAUAACUUACAUACUCUUACUCAAGUUUUAAUCACAGAAAUGUACUUUUACUUCGCUACAUUCGGUGGCGUUCCUCCGUUACUGUUAACUGUGAAGGAAUAUAAGUAGUUUUAAGAAUUAGUUUAUAUCAUGUAUAAUGAGGUCGCAAGUGUCGCGAUACACUAAAUUGCCUUAAAUAUAAAAAAAUAUAUAUCUCCUCAAAGUGUAUAAGAAAUGUAAACUCCAACCACUUUGUGUCUCCUGUCUGUAAAAUAAGACAGACGUUAUUUAGAAAUUUCCAUCCAUCUUCAACCGCUUACUCCUUUUCAGGGUCACGGGGAACCUGGAGCCUAUCCCAGGGAGCAUUGGGCACAAGGCGUGGUACACCCUGGACAGGGUGCCAGUCCAUCGCAGGACACAAUCACAUACACACACCCAUUCAUACACUACGGACACUUUAGACACGCCAAUCAGCCUACCAUGCAUGUGUUUGGACUGGGGGAGGAAACCAGAGUACCCGGAGGAAACCCCCGCAGCACGGGGAGAACAUGCAAACUCCGCACACACACACAGGGCCCUGAUGGGAAUCGAACCCCUGACCCUGGAGGCGUGAGGCGAACGUGCUCACCACUAAGCCACCGUGUGCCCCUAUUUAGAAAUAUUACUGUAUUAAAUUAAAUAUUUAAUUAUGUUUUUGUUGUAAUGUAAUGUUUUACUCUGCCGUUGUUGUCACCGUAAUAAAUUUACACCGUGUUGAGCGCGGAAAACACCAACCCCGGAAGUGCGAAUAAGGUGAAUUGCUUAUGCAGACGUUAUGGUUGUUGUCAGUUUAAUAAACGUUCUUACAGAACACUAUUAUGGAGCACACACUUCUCAGGUAAAUGCAUGAGACCAUUAUAUAUUCUUAUUUUACAGUGAUACCAUGUUCUGUUGUUUUGUGCUAACUCGGUGUUCCCCUGCUUUAAGUCCGCGUAAAGUACUUGUGUCAGGCUGGCUGGUUAGAGUCUGUUACUGAUCGCUUUAGGAAGAGCCUUCAGAAUGGAGUUGGGGAAGAUAUCUACAGCUCAAUUAAUAAAGGAGCUAAAGCGAUUUGGCACAGAAGUCAAUUUAAUAAUAACUAUGGCCAGCACUGUAUAUGUUUGCAUAUACAGCCAUUGUAACUAGUGAUUAGCUAGUUCCGUUUUACAUUUUGAGAGCAUUGGUCCCGCUGUUGCAAUGAUAUUUUAUUAUAUGCUGCACAAGAGUUGCCCAACUCUCUCUCAGAUUAUAUGCCGCCAUUUUGUGGUGAUUUGAGACAGGGCCGUUUCUGGCCAUUUUGGCGCCCUAGGCGAGAUUCCUCUUAAACUAAUGUGUGAAACCUAACUAAUUAGCAAGCUGGCUAGCUACCAUCCAACACUGCGUUAUCUAGGUCAGCGUUUCUCAACCUUUUUUGAGUCAUGGCACCCAUUGAAAAUGUAAAAAAAAUUUGUAGCACCCUACACAAACACUAAUUCUAGACAGCGUUAAGCUUGGUUUAUACUCGACUUGUCCGCAAUAGUGCGAGGGAGCUUGCGGAAAAUAUGACAUCGUCGUGGAGUGGACGGUCCAGCGCGUUGAGUGCGCGAGACCUCAUUCAACCGAAACCGCGUGACGGUUUGCAUGGCGUUCUUUAUAACUUGCCGUGUGGAGCCAGAUCCGGAAAUGAUUGACUUCGAGGCGACUCUUGCCGGAAGGUACGAUUGUACAGGCAUCUCUAUGAUCCAUCCAUGCGGGACCAUAGACAUGGACAGAUGCCACAAAAUUCAUGGAACCGGUUUUCAAAAAUAGUGAUUUGGAUUUGCUUUGUACAUACUGCUGAG
This is a long non-coding RNA of Ictalurus punctatus (channel catfish), 2422 nucleotides long. NCBI's taxonomy places the organism in Eukaryota, Metazoa, Chordata, Actinopteri, Siluriformes, Ictaluridae. The record is from Ensembl.